AGAGAGGGGGAAGGAAGCAGAUUAGCGGAUGAUGAAAUCAUCUUCCAUUGGACUGAAGGUCUGAAACACUACAAAAUUGUAGGGCUCGAAAAUCUGCCUGCGAAUCACUUCAAAGAGACAGCGAUCACGAGACAGUUUAUACAAGGUGAGGAAUUGUUCUCUCUAUGGAAAUUGAUCUUGAGCUGCCUUCACGGGUAGAUGAAAAGCUAGACUCUGUAACUGCUACUACUGAUGCAAAUGCAGUUCUUGAAGAGGGUGAAAAUGUUGAUGGGGUUGGAGAUUUUAUGGAUGGCGAUAGUAUUAGCCUUGCAGGUAAGGGUAUGAUUAGUUAUGAGCCUCGGAAGGAUCUGGAAUUUGAAACGAAGGAGGCAGCAUAUUCAUUCUACAGGGAAUAUGCAAGGUCAGUGGGAUUUGGUAUUACGAUAAAAGCCAGUCGCCGGUCAAAAAAGUCUGGGAAAUUCAUUGAUGUGAAGAUUGUGUGUUCUAGGUUUGGGACUAAACGUGACUCAGAUAAGGCGGUAAACUCACGGUCAUGUCCUAAGACAGAUUGCAAGGCAGGUAUGCAUAUAAAGAGAAAGCAGGAUGGGAAAUGGCAUAUAUACAGUUUUGUAAAGGAGCAUAAUCAUGAAAUUUGCCCUGAUGAUUUCUAUUAUGCUAUCAGGGGAAGGAUCAAGCAGUCCAUCAAUGCACAGCACCAGAAGAAAGCAUUGCAGUUGGCGUUGGAUGGAGAGGACAUACAGGCAAUGCUUGAUAGUUUCAUGCUUAUGCAAGGGGAGACUCCAGGAUUCUACUAUGCUGUAGACUUUGACAAGGAAAGACGUAUGAGAAAUGUAUGUUGGGUUGAUGCAAAAGGCAGGCAUGAUUAUGGGUAUUUUUCUGAUGUAAUUUUCUUUGACACUACAUAUAUUAGAAAGAAGUACAAGGUACCGCUUUUACCUAUUGUUGGGGUUAAUCAUAACUUCCAAUUAUUGUUGCUCGGAUGUGGUUUGAUUGGGGAUGAGACUUCAUCAAAUUACAUUUGGUUAAUGCGCACGUGGCUUAGAGCAGUGGGUGGCCAAAGUCCUAAAGUAGUCAUCACCAAUGACAACAACUCCCUACAAGAGGCUAUAGAUGAUGUCUUUCCAAAUGCACGCCAUUGUUUUUGUUUGUGGCAUGUAAUGGAGAAAAUUUCACAUCACCUAAGUCAUAAAAUGCAUAAUUUUGAAGUUUUUCUAAGGAAGUUUAACAAAUGUGUAUAUCAACCAUGGUCAGAGGAAUGUUUUGAAAAGAGAUGGUCGGACAAGAUUGUUGAUGCAUUUGAACUCAGGGGAGAGGAAUGCAUGGGGUUUCUAUUUGAAAGCCGUAAAAAAUGGGUUCCAGCUUACAUGAGGGGUACUUUUCUAGGAGGACUCUGCACAGUUGAGCGCUCUGAAGGUAUUUCCUCUUUCUUUGACAACUAUAUUCACAAGGAAACUACAUUCAAGGAGUUCAUUGAUCAUUACAAAACAUUUUUGCAUGACUGUUAUGAAGAGGAAACCAAGGCAGAUUUUGAAACUAAAUAUAAGCAACCUACAAUAAAAUCUGUCUUCCCUUAUGAGAAACAAAUGUCUACUGUCUAUACACACGCUGUGUUCAAAAAAUUUCAAUCUGAGGUUCAUGGAAUGGGUAGCUGUGAUGUUCAGAAGGAAGGUGAAGAUGGAAAAACAAUGUUAUACAGGGUUGAUGAUUCUGAAAAGCAGCAGAAGUUCAUAGUAGCUUGGAUUGAAAGACAAUCCAAUGUCUAUUGUUCAUGUCAUUCAUUUGAAUAUAGAGGUUUUCUUUGUAGACAUGCAAUGAAAGUUCUUCAAAUAUAUGGGAUGUCCAGCAUCCCACCUCAGUAUGUAUUGAAACGGUGGACCAGAGAGGCAAAGAUUAGGGAGACAACAUCUAGACUACCUAGCAGUCCCCAUUACAGGGUUCAACGACUUAAUGAUCUUUGUAAACUCGCUGUUAAAUUGGGAGAAGCAGGUUCUUUAUCCUUGGAAAGCUAUAACAUUGUCCUAUAUGCGCUAGAAGAAGCAAUGGAACAUUGUGUUGGUGAGAAUAACUCUGCUAGAAGUUCUUUAGAAAACAAUAUAUUGUCAACACAAAAUCUUCCGUGUAUUGACAUAGAGAAGCAGGGUAGUGGUACAGCAAAGCGAUUAAAGAAAAAACAAUUGCCUAAGAAGCACAAGGUACAAUCUGUUACUGAAGAAAUAUCUAGUGGGGUCCAAGACAGCAACCAACAGGAGUCAUCAAACCCAAGAGAACAAACCCUUGAAAGUUCCUAUGUUGCUUUCCUAGACAUGCAAGGGAUGGAGUUAGGCUCCAGAACUCCAGUUACUGAUGGCUACUAUUCUACUCAACAGAGCAUUCAAGGACUGGGGCAACUGGCUUCUCUGCCUAUGCUACGGGAAGGCUAUUACUACAAUCAGGGCAUGCAGGGAAUUCUGCAGGGAAAUUUGAAUUCAAUAGCUACACGUUUGAGUCAUUAUCCCAUCCAAAGCUUUCAAGGAAUGUUGCAGGGACAGCUUGGCUUUAGAGCAGCAGCAUCCAUGCAUGGUGGUUUUGAGAUUCAGGAUGGCUUGCUAGAUAUGGGAAAUUCUAUAAAUUCUGCUGGAAAACAAGAUAAGCAUUUUUCAAGGUAGUAAUUAAUCUCUCCAAAUCCAGACAUAAAGAUGACUUAAAAGGGAUUCCAUGGCUUAGUUUCAAGAUUAGAGACCUAGUACUAAAUCCCAUUGCUCCCAUCCUCCUGUUGAUAUAUGUAGUGUAAAAAAAGUACGUAAAUGUUGUUGAUAAGAAGAAGAAGAAGAAAGUGCAGAGAGGAGGUUUCGAUGGUGGAGCGGGUGAUGGGCUGAUGGUUUUAGACUUCUUGGUUGCAUUUACUUCAAAUUCUUCACUUUUCUAUUAUCCACUUUCAAAUCCGUGACUGCCGUGCGCAGUGAGACAACGAGUCUAGGACGGACAAGCAGAGCAAAGAUGACAUGGAACGCUGAGGGCCGCAAGGUUUUAGGUUUUUGGUAGGCCUGAAUCUAGUGCAGAAAAUUUUGGAUUAUGUCCUUCAUUAUGACACACUUUGCUUUUCGAUCUUGAAUUCUUGAUGGAUGGCGUUUAACUGUUUCACCACGCCACUCUACCUCCAUUGAUAAGGUUGCACACUAGUGUUUAACACUAUUUUCGGUCGAACUCUUUGCACAUAGUCUUUUUUAGUACGAUUUGCUUCUCAA
Molecule: RNA transcript, 3224 nt
Organism: Ipomoea nil (Japanese morning glory)
Lineage: Eukaryota; Viridiplantae; Streptophyta; Magnoliopsida; Solanales; Convolvulaceae
Gene name: protein FAR1-RELATED SEQUENCE 2-like
Exons: 10
Source: RefSeq, a predicted model, not a curated record